UAGUGGGGAACCGCAAGGCCUCAUGCUAUAAGGAGCGGCGAGUCGACUAGCUAGCUGUGGGGUAAGCCACCACGCGACGAUCAGUAGCUGUCUGAGACGACGAUCAGCCACACUGGGACUGAGACACGGCCCAGACUCUACGGGAGGCAGCAGUGAGGAAUUUUGGACAAUGAGCGAAAGCCUGAUCCAGCAAUGCCGCGUGUGUGAAGAAGGCCUUCGGGUUGUAAAGCACUUUUGUCCGGAAAGAAAUGGCUCUGGUUAAUACCUGGGGUCGAUGACGGUACCGGAAGAAUAAGGACCGGCUAACUACGUGCCAGCAGCCGCGGUAAUACGUAGGGUCAAGCGUUAAUCGGAAUUACUGGGCGUAAAGCGUGCGCAGGCGGUUGUGCAAGACCGAUGUGAAAUCCCCGAGCUUAACUUGGGAAUUGCAUUGGUGACUGCACGGCUAGAGUGUGUCAGAGGGGGGUAGAAUUCCACGUGUAGCAGUGAAAUGCGUAGAGAUGUGGAGGAAUACCGAUGGCGAAGGCAGCCCCCUGGGAUAACACUGACGCUCAUGCACGAAAGCGUGGGGAGCAAACAGGAUUAGAUACCCUGGUAGUCCACGCCCUAAACGAUGUCAACUAGUUGUUGGGGAUUCAUUUCCUUAGUAACGUAGCUAACGCGUGAAGUUGACCGCCUGGGGAGUACGGUCGCAAGAUUAAAACUCAAAGGAAUUGACGGGGACCCGCACAAGCGGUGGAUGAUGUGGAUUAAUUCGAUGCAACGCGAAAAACCUUACCUACCCUUGACAUGCCACUAACGAAGCAGAGAUGCAUUAGGUGCUCGAAAGAGAAAGUGGACACAGGUGCUGCAUGGCUGUCGUCAGCUCGUGUCGUGAGAUGUUGGGUUAAGUCCCGCAACGAGCGCAACCCUUGUCUCUAGUUGCUACGAAAGGGCACUCUAGAGAGACUGCCGGUGACAAACCGGAGGAAGGUGGGGAUGACGUCAAGUCCUCAUGGCCCUUAUGGGUAGGGCUUCACACGUCAUACAAUGGUGCAUACAGAGGGUUGCCAAGCCGCGAGGUGGAGCUAAUCCCAGAAAAUGCAUCGUAGUCCGGAUCGUGAGUCUGCAACUCGACUACGUGAAGCUGGAAUCGCUAGUAAUCGCGGAUCAGCAUGCCGCGAUUUGCUC
RNAcentral lists this ribosomal RNA (1170 nucleotides) under uncultured bacterium. Its description in RNAcentral is "bacterial SSU rRNA". It matches the Rfam family "Bacterial small subunit ribosomal RNA", at positions 190 to 1369 of the family's 1533-position model. The record is from RNAcentral.